UGUGUGUGUGAUUCAGGGUAAGUACCUUGCUCAAGGGUACUACAGCUAGAGGUAAGGCUUGAACCUGCAACUCUUGGGUCCAGAUGCACUUGUUCUAACCACUACACUAUCAGUUGACACUUUUGUGAUGGCUGAAGGCAGCCCGUGUCGCCACGGAGUGCAGGGUGGGCUUCGCACACCAACACACCUACGGAUGCACCGCUCCAGGUGGAGACCGUACUGGAGAACAAGCCGGCCGCUGCACGGUCUACUCAGUGGUCUUGACCAAGGAAAGACUGGAAGUUGGGCGUUGUGUUAACGUUGCGGAUGAUGAGUCAUCCGUGAGGCGUUUUCACCCACAGAGCACAAAGGUACCUCGCUGUUACAUUUUUCAGGUUUUCAUGUUAUACUUGGUCAGCGGGGUGACUUGUAACCCAUUCUGGCUUGUUUAUUUGUUCUUAUUUACUCCCUGGCUAGGUUUGGUUCUGUGUGAAAGUUCUUACAUCUUGUUCCUCAACUGUUCGUUAAGAACAAAAAAAAAAAAAAAAAAAAAAGGCUGAUCGGAAUGCGAGAGCCGCGUGACGUCAGAGACUUUGUGACGUCAGAGACUCGCCCAGUCGGCGAGCGGCAGUCAGGCAGGCGCCAGGCAGCGAUUGGCGAAGAUGAUGGCAUCGGCGGCUCGCUUUUGGCGACUGUGUGCAGUUAAAAACACAGGGCUUCUAACUCAUAACACCAGAAUCGGAGGCUCGGCUACAGCGGGUCUCACUCAGAGUCGAACCGCCGUGUCCACGUCGACGGGUGCUGUUCUGCCAAAGCCGGUGAAAGUGUCCUUUGGCCUGACACGCAUCAUGAUUGUGGUCGUCCCUUUCCUGUACGUGGGAACUCUGUUCAGCAAGAAAUUUGCUGCCAUGCUUGAAGAACAUGACAUCUUUGUUCCCGACAAUGAUGACGAUGAUUGAUGCCAGGACCCCGUGAGUGCAGACAAUGAGAGUCGGGAAGAGAAUGAGAACAGAGGUGUGAAUGACACUCCACCUUUAUUCAAAGGUGCUGAAGAUGACUCCUGUUGCCUUCGCCAUAAUUUUUCUUACAAAGUCAUUUUGAUAGCGUUGUUUCUCAAAUAUACCAACCUGGGGCUACCUCUUCUUCGAUUUCCUUUUAUACACAGGGUGGGUUUUUUUUAAAAAAAAAAAAAUAAAGUCUGCUGUCAAAGUAAUUUCA
Molecule: long non-coding RNA, 1197 nt
Filed under: Scleropages formosus (Asian bonytongue)
Lineage: Eukaryota; Metazoa; Chordata; Actinopteri; Osteoglossiformes; Osteoglossidae
Description: lncRNA (ENSSFOG00015031643.1)
Source: RNAcentral